Molecule: long non-coding RNA, 181 nt
Organism: Telopea speciosissima
Lineage: Eukaryota; Viridiplantae; Streptophyta; Magnoliopsida; Proteales; Proteaceae
Exons: 3
Source: RefSeq, a predicted model, not a curated record
UCUUGCAGAUCAGUAGAGGGUUCCUUUUUCUCAACUUCAUCAUUCUGGUCAUUAGAGGCUAACAUCACCGUUGGCUGCAUAGUAGAGGGUUCCAUCUAUUGUUCCUUUCCUCGGUUGUUGAGACAUGAGAGGAGAGAUGAAACCUAGCUCCUUGAGGCUCGAGUCCAGGAUUACUUUUUUU